GACGAACGCUGGCGGCGUGCCUAAUACAUGCAAGUAGAACGCUGAAGGAGGAGCUUACUUCUCUGGAUGAGUUGCGAACGGGUGAGUAACGCGUAGGUAACCUGCCUGGUAGCGGGGGAUAACUAUUGGAAACGAUAGCUAAUACCGCAUAAGAGUAGAUGUUGCGUGACAUUUACCUAAAAGGUGCAAUUGCACCACUACCAGAUGGACCUGCGUUGUAUUAGCUAGUUGGUGGGGUAACGGCUUACCAAGGCGACGAUACAUAGCCGACCUGGGAGGGUGAUCGGCCACACUGGGACUGGGACACGGCCCAGACUCCUACGGGAGGCAGCAGUAGGGAAUCUUCGGCAAUGGACGGAAGUCUGACCGAGCAACGCCGCGUGAGUGAAGAAGGUUUUCGGAUCGUAAAGCUCUGUUGUAAGAGAAGAACGAGUGUGAGAGUGGAAAGUUCACACUGUGACGGUAUCUUACCAGAAAGGGACGGCUAACUACGUGCCAGCCGCCGCCGUAA
Molecule: ribosomal RNA, 511 nt
Filed under: uncultured bacterium
Lineage: Bacteria
Description: partial 16S ribosomal RNA
Rfam family: Bacterial small subunit ribosomal RNA
Source: RNAcentral